UGUAACUCCAAGAUACCAAACCUCUAAACACUGACCACGUACACAGAGGUUCAUAACAGCAGCAGUGAGAAGUUAAACAGUCAUACACCACUGAGAGCACCUUUCUUGGCAACAGGUGACUGCGUGACACCAUGAAGAUCUUUAUUUCAAUAACGUUCCUUCUGGCUGUGGCAUCUGCUGUGCCUACAUUCUGGUAUCGAAACAAAAUCAGUACUCAGGAGGACAACUCAGAAAUCCAUGGGGGCGCUAUUGAGAAUGGAGGCACACCAAUUGGAACUGAUGGGGCAUUUGGAGUGACAGCAGGAAAAGGCAGUGAUAACAAAGAAGUGGAAAGAAAUGACCCAAAAAUUAUGAGGUUGGUGAUGCAGAGAUAAGAGAUAAACAGGAACUGCAGAGUCAUGGUGCCAAUUAUGAAUUUGAUGAUAAAGGACUGCAUGGUGAUGAUCCAAUGGCAUUCUAUGGAAUACAUGGUGAUGAUCCAA
This 482-nucleotide long non-coding RNA is filed under the name Lepisosteus oculatus (spotted gar). Its description in RNAcentral is "lncRNA (ENSLOCG00000022338.1)". Lineage: Eukaryota; Metazoa; Chordata; Actinopteri; Semionotiformes; Lepisosteidae. The record is from RNAcentral.